This 378-nucleotide unclassified non-coding RNA is filed under the name uncultured Gaiellales bacterium. RNAcentral describes it as "contains 16S-23S intergenic spacer region". Lineage: Bacteria; Bacillati; Actinomycetota; Thermoleophilia; Gaiellales. The record is from RNAcentral.
UCCGGUUUGGCACCGGCAGUCUCCCUAGAGUCCCCGACGUGACUCGCUGGCAACUAAAGACGGGGGUUGCGCUCGUUGCGGAACUUAAUCCAACACCUCACGACACGAGCUGACGACAGCCAUGCACCACCUGUGCACUGGCCCCGAAGGGCUGCCGUAUUUCUACGGCAUUCCAGUGCAUGUCAAGCCCUGGUAAGGUUCUUCGCGUUGCGUCGAAUUAAACCACAUGCUCCGCUGCUUGUGCGGGCCCCCGUCAAUUCCUUUGAGUUUUAGCCUUGCGGCCGUACUCCCCAGGCGGGGCGCUUAAUGCGUUAGCUGCGGCACGGACGGAGUCGACACCGCCCACACCUAGCGCCCAACGUUUACGGCGUGGACUAC